GCAAGUCGAGGGGCAGAAUAAUCUUCGGAUUGAUGGCGACCGGCGCACGGGUGCGUAAAGCGUAUGCAACCUACCCUUUACUGGGAGAUAGCCGGGGGAAACCGGGAUUAAUACCCCAUGGUAUCACAAGAUGGCAUCUGAAAGUGAUUAAAGAUUUAUUGGUAAAGGAUGGGCAUGCGUCUGAUUAGUUAGUUGGUAAGGUAACGGCUUACCAAGACGAUGAUCAGUAGGCGGUCUGAGAGGAUGAUC
Molecule: ribosomal RNA, 249 nt
Filed under: uncultured bacterium
Lineage: Bacteria
Description: partial 16S ribosomal RNA
Rfam family: Bacterial small subunit ribosomal RNA
Source: RNAcentral